CAAUAGCGUAUAUUUAAGUUGUUGCAGUUAAAAAGCUCGUAGUUGGAUUUCGGUUAAGAGCGACCGGUCCGCCGUUUGGUGUGCACUGGUUGGUUUUAACUUCCUGUAGAGGACGUGCUCUGGGUUUAACGACCUGGACUCGGAGUCUACGUGGUUACUUUGAAAAUAUUAGAGUGUUCAAAGCGGGCUUACGCUUGAAUAUUUCAGCAUGGAAUAACACUAUAGGACUCCUGUCCUAUUUCGUUGGUCUCGGGACGGGAGUAAUGAUUAAGAGGAACAGUUGGGGGCAUUCGUAUUUCAUUGUCAGAGGUGAAAUUCUUGGAUUUAUGAAAGACGAACUUCUGCGAAAGCAUUUGCCAAGGAUGUUCUCAUUAA
Molecule: ribosomal RNA, 375 nt
Filed under: uncultured eukaryote
Lineage: Eukaryota
Description: partial 18S ribosomal RNA
Rfam family: Eukaryotic small subunit ribosomal RNA
Source: RNAcentral